RNAcentral lists this non-coding RNA (788 nucleotides) under Streptomyces swartbergensis. Its description in RNAcentral is "Bacterial large subunit ribosomal RNA". It matches the Rfam family "Bacterial large subunit ribosomal RNA", at positions 1180 to 1843 of the family's 2925-position model. Lineage: Bacteria; Bacillati; Actinomycetota; Actinomycetes; Kitasatosporales; Streptomycetaceae. The record is from Rfam by way of RNAcentral.
GCUCAAGCGUACCGCCGAAGUCGUGUCAUUCACACAAUAGGGCCAACGCCUGUGUGGAUGGGUAGGGGAGCGUCGUGUGCCGGGUGAAGCAGCCGUGUAAGCGAGUUGUGGACGGUUCACGAGUGAGAAUGCAGGCAUGAGUAGCGAUACACACGUGAGAAACGUGUGCGCCGAUUGACUAAGGGUUCCUGGGUCAAGCUGAUCUGCCCAGGGUAAGUCGGGACCUAAGGCGAGGCCGACAGGCGUAGUCGAUGGAUAACCGGUUGAUAUUCCGGUACCCGCUGUGAAGCGUCAAACAUUGAAUCCACUAAUGCUAAGGCCGUGAAGCCGCCCUGGAGCCUUCGGGCAAAGGGGAGUGGUGGAGCCGCCGGACCAAGGUGGUAGUAGGUGAGUGAUGGGGUGACGCAGGAAGGUAGUCCAGCCCGGGCGGUGGUUGUCCCGGGGUAAGGGUGUAGGCCGUGCGGUAGGUAAAUCCGUCGCACACAAGGCUGAGACCUGAUGCCGAGCCGAUUGUGGUGAAGUGGAUGAUCCUAUGCUGUCGAGAAAAGCCUCUAGCGAGUUUCAUGGCGGCCCGUACCCUAAACCGACUCAGGUGGUCAGGUAGAGAAUACCGAGGCGUUCGGGUGAACUAUGGUUAAGGAACUCGGCAAAAUGCCCCCGUAACUUCGGGAGAAGGGGGGCCAUUCUUGGUGAUCCGUUUUACACGGUGAGCUGGGGGUGGCCGCAGAGACCAGCGAGAAGCGACUGUUUACUAAAAACACAGGUCCGUGCGAAGCCGUAAGGCGAUG